Molecule: long non-coding RNA, 1183 nt
Organism: Olea europaea var. sylvestris
Lineage: Eukaryota; Viridiplantae; Streptophyta; Magnoliopsida; Lamiales; Oleaceae
Exons: 2
Source: RefSeq, a predicted model, not a curated record
UCUCCAAACCCUAAACUUCAUCUUCGGCCUUUAUAACUGCCUCUCCGUGAUCAUUCACCUCUCUCGAACGGUUUUAUAAAUCUUCUUUUUCAUUGUCUAAUAUUACGUUUGUGCUAUCUGUUGUUUGGUCUUGUGCUUACUACCGUAGCAAAAAUUGCGUGGUUUUUUAAAAUUUUAUUUUCUGAUUUUGUUUGAAAAGAAUUCAAUUGGUUUUAUGGAUGUGAUUAACCUUGUGUCUAUGAUGAUUAAUUUUAAGGCUUGUUUCUCAAAAACAUUCGCAGUGGCCGCCUAAGAACUUUCGCCUUCGCCGGGCUUGAGAGUUUAUGCUGCUUCAAUCCUUCCCUGGAUGUCUGAGACACCUCCAUUAAUUUGAUGCUGUUCCCUGUGUAUUGGAAUAUGCUGACUGUAUAUACAGUUAGUCAAUACAAGAAGGAGAAGAUGGAUGAAAGGAGCAAGAAUGCAUAAUGUGGAUUGGACAAGAGAGCAAGGGAAAGCCAAACUCCUACUGCGAAGAGCAGCUGAUCUGAUAUCAUUAUCAUAAUAGCAGAAGAGGUGGCAGUCCAAGCAAUUCCAGCUAUGCUUCACUUACGAAGAUGGAUUAUAAAGUUUGUUGACAAAAUAACAUCCAUAACAAUCAUUUCAAAAACAGAUUUUUAAAUCAUUUCAAAUCAAUUAUCUGGAUUUUGUCAAUACACUUUGUGAUCCAAUUUUUUGUAACUCAACUUUGUGCAAGUUUUAUUGAAGCAAUUCAGCCCAAAUGUGGUGCCCACUUUCAAUCAUUUCGGAUUAUUUUCAACCAGUAAUAAAAUAUUUUACAUAUAAAUCUAAAUUUUUCUACUUUUUAAUCACGCAUUCUCUUAAAAAUACUCUUUAAAAUUUUAUUUGUUUUUUGAAAUAAUGGACACCAAAUAGGGGCUCAGUCAUUGUGCCGACCGAAGGUGCUAGAAACAGAAAGUCGGAGACAUGUUUCGAAGUGAUGGGGAGUUGAAAUUUGGGUGUAUUAAUCAAUUAUGUCCAUAAUUUACAUAUUUACAUCAUUUUCACGUCUGGAGGAAUAGUUGAGUUGUAGUACCAACUUCCCAUGGAAACACCAUAGUUGAAACCUUCAUGUAUUAUUCUAUCUUCGUUGAAAAAAAGAAAAAGAAAUAAAGGUUCAACUGCAAGCGAAUAUGUAACUUGAAUA